UAGGAUACAGAGAAGAUUAGCAUGGCCCCUGCAUAAGGAUGACAUGCAAAUCUGUGAAGCAUUCCACAACAUA
RNAcentral lists this small nuclear RNA (73 nucleotides) under Carlito syrichta (Philippine tarsier). Lineage: Eukaryota; Metazoa; Chordata; Mammalia; Primates; Tarsiidae. The record is from RNAcentral.